GUAGGGAAUAUUGGGCAAUGGUCGGAAGACUGACCCAGCCAUGCCGCGUGCAGGAAGACGGCCCUCUGGGUUGUAAACUGCUUUUAUCUGGGAAGAAAAAGGCCAUGCGUGGCAAAUUGCCGGUACCAGAUGAAUAAGCACCGGCUAACUCCGUGCCAGCAGCCGCGGUAAUACGGAGGGUGCGAGCGUUGUCCGGAUUUAUUGGGUUUAAAGGGUGCGUAGGCGGCUGAUUAAGUCAGCGGUGAAAGACUUCGGCUUAACCGGAGCAGUGCCGUUGAUACUGGUUGGCUUGAGUGUCGGAGGGGUACAUGGAAUUGAUGGUGUAGCGGCGAAAUGCAUAGAUACCAUCAGGAACACCGAUAGCGAAGGCAUUGUACUGGCCGACAACUGACGCUGAUGCACGAAAGUGUGGGGAUCGAACAGGAUUAGAAACCCCAGUAGUCC
This 444-nucleotide ribosomal RNA is filed under the name uncultured bacterium. RNAcentral's name for it is "partial 16S ribosomal RNA". It matches the Rfam family "Bacterial small subunit ribosomal RNA", at positions 354 to 796 of the family's 1533-position model. The record is from RNAcentral.